AGCUUAUCAUGCAAGUCGAGGGGCAGCAUGAAGUAGCAAUACUUUGAUGGCGACCGGCAAACGGGUGCGGAACACGUACACAACCUUCCUUUUAGUGGGGAAUAGCCCAGAGAAAUUUGGAUUAAUACCCCGUAACAUAACUGAGUGGCAUCACUUGGUUAUUAUAGCUUCGGUGCUAAAUGAUGGGUGUGCGUAUGAUUAGAUAGUUGGCGAGGUAACGGCUCACCAAGUCUACGAUCAUUAGCUGAUGUGAGAGCAUGACCAGCCACACGGGCACUGAGACACGGGCCCGACUCCUACGGGAGGCAGCAGUAAGGAAUAUUGGUCAAUGGACGCAAGUCUGAACCAGCUAUGCCGCGUGAAGGAUUAAGGUCCUCUGGAUUGUAAACUUCUUUUAUCUGGGACGAAAAAAGGUCUUUCUAGACCCCUUGACGGUACCAGAUGAAUAAGCACCGGCUAACUCCGUGCCAGCGCCGCGGUAAUA
This 484-nucleotide ribosomal RNA is filed under the name uncultured Rhodoferax sp. RNAcentral's name for it is "bacterial SSU rRNA". It matches the Rfam family "Bacterial small subunit ribosomal RNA", at positions 45 to 525 of the family's 1533-position model. Lineage: Bacteria; Pseudomonadati; Pseudomonadota; Betaproteobacteria; Burkholderiales; Comamonadaceae. The record is from RNAcentral.